RNAcentral lists this ribosomal RNA (1402 nucleotides) under uncultured bacterium. RNAcentral's name for it is "partial 16S ribosomal RNA". It matches the Rfam family "Bacterial small subunit ribosomal RNA". The record is from RNAcentral.
AGAGUUUGAUCCUGGCUCAGGAUGAACGCUAGCGACAGGCUUAACACAUGCAAGUCGAGGGGCAGCAGGGGAGUAGCAAUACUCCCGCUGGCGACCGGCGCACGGGUGAGUAACACGUAUGCAACCUGCCCUUGUCAGGGGGAUAAGCGGAAGAAAUUCCGUCUAAUACCGCAUAAUGCUGCGGGGAGACAUCUCCCUGCAGCCAAAGAUUUAUCGGACAAGGAUGGGCAUGCGGCGCAUUAGCUGGUUGGCGGGGUAACGGCCCACCAAGGCGACGAUGCGUAGGGGUUCUGAGAGGAAGGUCCCCCACACUGGUACUGAGACACGGACCAGACUCCUACGGGAGGCAGCAGUGAGGAAUAUUGGUCAAUGGCCGGGAGGCUGAACCAGCCAAGUCGCGUGAGGGAAGACGGUCCUAUGGAUUGUAAACCUCUUUUGUCAGGGAGCAAAAACUGCCACGCGUGGCAGGAUGAGAGUACCUGAAGAAAAAGCAUCGGCUAACUCCGUGCCAGCAGCCGCGGUAAUACGGAGGAUGCGAGCGUUAUCCGGAUUUAUUGGGUUUAAAGGGUGCGUAGGCGGACAGUUAAGUCAGCGGUAAAAUUGAGAGGCUCAACCUCUUCCCGCCGUUGAAACUGAUUGUCUUGAGUGGGCGAGAAGUAUGCGGAAUGCGUGGUGUAGCGGUGAAAUGCAUAGAUAUCACGCAGAACUCCGAUUGCGAAGGCAGCAUACCGGCGCCCAACUGACGCUGAAGCACGAAAGCGUGGGUAUCGAACAGGAUUAGAUACCCUGGUAGUCCACGCAGUAAACGAUGAAUACUAAUUGUUCGGGUCAAAUGAGAUCUGAGUGAUACAGCGAAAGCGUUAAGUAUUCCACCUGGGGAGUACGCCGGCAACGGUGAAACUCAAAGGAAUUGACGGGGGCCCGCACAAGCGGAGGAACUUGUGGUUUAAUUCGAUGAUACGCGAGGAACCUUACCCGGGCUCAAACGACACAGGAAUGAUCUGAGAAAUCAGGCAGUCCUCCGGGACCUGUGUCGAGGUGCUGCAUGGUUGUCGUCAGCUCGUGCCGUGAGGUGUCGGCUUAAGUGCCAUAACGAGCGCAACCCCCAUCGACAGUUGCCAGCAGGUGAAGCUGGGCACUCUGUCGAGACUGCCGGCGCAAGCUGUGAGGAAGGCGGGGAUGACGUCAAAUCAGCACGGCCCUUACGUCCGGGGCGACACACGUGUUACAAUGGCAGGUACGGCGGGAAGCCACCUGGCGACAGGGAGCGGAACCCGAAAGCCUGUCUCAGUUCGGAUUGGAGUCUGCAACUCGACUCCAUGAAGCUGGAUUCGCUAGUAAUCGCGCAUCAGCCACGGCGCGGUGAAUACGUUACCGGGCCUUGCACUCACCGCCCGUCAAG